GCGAGAAACCUUUGCAAUGUGCGCAAGCACGACAAGGUUAAUCCGAGUGUUUCCUGCUAAAGGAAUCUUUUGUUAGUCCUAAAAACACUAGUGAAUAAGGGGUGGGCAAGUUCUGGUGUCAGCCGCCGCGGUAAAACCAGCACCUCAAGUGGUCAGGAGGAUUAUUGGGCCUAAAGCAUCCGUAGCCUGCUCUAUAAGUUUCCGGUUAAAUCCAUUGGCUCAACUAAUGGGCUGCCGGAAAUACUGUAGAGCUAGGGAGUGGGAGAGGUAGACGGUACUCGGUAGGAAGGGGUAAAAUCCUUUGAUCUAUUGAUGACCACCUGUGGCGAAGGCGGUCUACCAGAACACGUUCGACGGUGAGGGAUGAAAGCUGGGGGAGCAAACCGGAUUAGAUACCCGCGUAGUCC
Molecule: ribosomal RNA, 407 nt
Filed under: uncultured prokaryote
Description: bacterial SSU rRNA
Rfam family: Archaeal small subunit ribosomal RNA
Source: RNAcentral